UGGACAGAUUAUUGUAUUCGACUGUAUUCACGGCGUGAAACAGGGGAUUACACUGUUUUUGAACGGAAAGUGAAUCAAUUAACAUAAUAGACUCCU
MicroRNA precursor from Nicotiana attenuata, 96 nucleotides. It matches the Rfam family "MIR6152 microRNA precursor family". Lineage: Eukaryota; Viridiplantae; Streptophyta; Magnoliopsida; Solanales; Solanaceae. The record is from Rfam.